This 1676-nucleotide long non-coding RNA is filed under the name Homo sapiens (human). RNAcentral's name for it is "HSALNT0307138". Lineage: Eukaryota; Metazoa; Chordata; Mammalia; Primates; Hominidae. The record is from RNAcentral.
UCCGUUCGCCUCGGCCUCCCAAAGUGCCAGGAUUACAGGCAUGAGCCACCGCGCCUGGCCGUAACUGAUUCUUUAUAUAUAAUUGUUGCCUAAUUCCUAGCAUACUGAGAUCCUAUUUAUUUAUUUAUUUAUUUAUUUAUUUAUUUAUUUAUUUAUUUUCUGAGAUCUAAUUUAGACCAUGGAGAAGAAAAACAAAAAGGUGGUAUUAAUAAACUGCUUUGGGGAGUAAAAGAACCUCUUAGAAUCCACGACAUCAUGGAUGGAAGAGAUCCUUAAGGAGGGAAUGAAGCACAGCUCAGAGUGGGAAGGUUAGCAAUGUUCAAGACCAAAGUUAAUCAUCUCUACAUGAGUCAAUUGAAAGAAAAGAAUUAAAAGCAUUAAAAAAAAAACAAUAUGAGUAAUGGGAGGAGCUGAUGAAGCCUGCUGCCCAGAUGAGGAUUGGAAACUAUUUAAACUGGAUAAUACAGUAUGUGUUUUAGCUCUGAGAAAACAGAAGUUGAACUUUUGAGUAGUAAUCAAGGGCACGGUCUCAAAGUAUUUGCAAAUAGUGCUGGUAUGGAGAACAGAUGCCGACAUUAUUGCCAAUGGGAAUCACAAUGUGAUAGUUGGAGUGAGAGACUAAAAGAAACCACAGGGAAUUUUUGCAGAAAGCUUGGCAUUGAACAUGAUUUAUGGUUGAUUUAAGAAGGAGACAAGGAAAAUAAGGCUACAGUGUAUACCAUCUGACUGCUGCGGACCAAGGAUGUAAACAGUUAGCCAUGGCUCUCCAACCUCCUGGAAAUCAGGAUUCUGCUCAUACAGAAAGGCGCCAGAAUGUUUGUCUGAGUUAAGUGCAUACUUCUUUUUUAGUAUCUAAGAAUAGUUAUCCUCCUUUCCUCUCCCAUUACUGCUUGGGUAUCCUUAAAAAUCCUCACCAGCUAUUAAGUAUCAUGGAGUUACGCAAAGAGGUCUGCAGGGAACUUGAUGGCUUCCCAAAGUGGAUCAGAGAACCUCACAGGAGGCCCUAGGCUUGAAAGGAUGAUUGCAGAAAGGAUGACCUACAAGUGGAUGGUCAGAUCUGGCUGCAAAUGGAUGUCUGAAAGAAAACGGGGAUCCUAGGAAACCCAUCACAGCCCUCUAUGAGCUUCAGAAACCAGCAAGCAGUCCCAGCUAAGGUCCCGGUCAGCAGCCAGCAUUGACCACCAGAUGUGUGAAUGAAGAGGCCUUCAGAUGAUUGCAGCCCCUAUUGUUAAGGCAACCCCAACCUCCGAGUCUUCCCAGCAGAGGAUUCAGCUACUAUGGAGUCAAGAUAAGUCAUUCCCACUGUACCCUGUCUGGGGUCCUGACACAUGAAGAUUGGAAGUGGUUUGUCACAUAGCAAUAGUAACUGAAACACUGGGAGAGGGACGUCUUUAAGAGGAGAAAUUAAGUUCCCAAUGAGAUUUUAAAGAUGUACUAAUGAAACAAUCAAGUAGAGAUAUCAAGUAGUUAGUUGGACAUGUGAGCGUAAGCAGACUUCUUGGCUGGAGAUAUACUAAUGGCAAACAGCAUAUGGAUGUCAUUUAAUUUCCCAGGCCUGGGUGAGAUCACCUACAGCAGGAGGUGGACAGAGAAGAGGAGCUGGUUCAAGACCUCAUUCUGAGGAAGCCCAGUAUUUAGAGAGAUGGGUGUCUCGCUAUAUUGCCCAGACUGGUCUC